This 491-nucleotide ribosomal RNA is filed under the name uncultured bacterium. Its description in RNAcentral is "partial 16S ribosomal RNA". It matches the Rfam family "Bacterial small subunit ribosomal RNA", at positions 29 to 507 of the family's 1533-position model. The record is from RNAcentral.
AGUGAACGCUGGCGGUAGGCCUAACACAUGCAAGUCGAACGGCAGCACAGUAAGAGCUUGCUCUUACGGGUGGCGAGUGGCGGACGGGUGAGGAAUACAUCGGAAUCUACUUUUUCGUGGGGGAUAACGUAGGGAAACUUACGCUAAUACCGCAUACGACCUACGGGUGAAAGCAGGGGAUUUCGGGACUUUCCCCGAUUGAUGGGCCGAUGUCGGAUUAGCUAGUUGGCGGGGUAAAGGCCCACCAAGGCGACGAUCCGUAGCUGGUCUGAGAGGAUGAUCAGCCACACUGGAACUGAGACACGGUCCAGACUCCUACGGGAGGCAGCAGUGGGGAAUAUUGGACAAUGGGCGCAAGCCUGAUCCAGCCAUACCGCGUGGGUGAAGAAGGCCUUCGGGUUGUAAAGCCCUUUUGUUGGGAAAGAAAAGCAGCAGGUUAAUACCCCGCUGUUCUGACGGUACCCAAAGAAUAAGCACCGGCUAACUUCGUG